This 597-nucleotide ribosomal RNA is filed under the name Liagora sp. ARS-2011. RNAcentral describes it as "eukaryotic LSU rRNA". It matches the Rfam family "Eukaryotic large subunit ribosomal RNA", at positions 1284 to 1899 of the family's 3401-position model. The record is from RNAcentral. RNAcentral also lists the same sequence under 1 other name. Lineage: Eukaryota; Rhodophyta; Florideophyceae; Nemaliales; Liagoraceae.
AACAACUCACCUGCCGAAUGAAUUAGCCCUGAAAAUGGAUGGCGCUGAAGCGGGCAGCCGACACCGCGCCGUUCCGGCGAGACGAUGCCGGGAUGAGUAGGAGGGCGUGGCGGUCAGUGACGCAGGCGAGGGUGCAGACCCCGCUGAAACGGCCGCUAGUGCAGAUCUUGGUGGUAGUAGCAAAUAUUCAAGCGAGAUCCUUGAAGGGCGAAGCGGGGAAGGGUUCCACGCAAACAUUGAUUGGGCGUGGGUGAGUCGUUCCUAAGCCGAGUGGCAAUUGCUAAGUAGCGGCGAAAGGGAAGCGGGUUAAAAUUCCCGCACACGGAUAUGGAGGCGGCGACGCAAGCAGAGGCAAAUACGCUGGCGAGGGCGCUGGGCAGAGUUUUCUUUUCUGUUUGACCGGCAUCGCGCUGUGUGGAAUCCGCUUAUCGGGAGAAACACGCGCGGGGAGGGGCAGAGCGUCAGGUCUUUUCUGGCGUCCGGCUCGCCCUCGACGGCCCUUGAAAAUUUGCCCGCGAACACUAAAUUUCAUGCUGUGACGUACCGAUAACCGCAUCAGGUCCCCAAGGUGAACAGCCUCUGCUCAAUAUGAACAAU